RNAcentral lists this long non-coding RNA (1285 nucleotides) under Homo sapiens (human). RNAcentral describes it as "non-protein coding lnc-KHDC3L-2:13". Lineage: Eukaryota; Metazoa; Chordata; Mammalia; Primates; Hominidae. The record is from RNAcentral.
ACAAUGCUGUCUCAGUGAAUUGGAUUUCCCUGUGCAGCAGGCAAGAAGAAUCUGUUGGAUGAUUACAACAUUGCUGGAUUGAUAGCAGCCUCACCUGCCAGGCUCAAACUCCAGAUCCAAAGUCCACAAAUAUAUCAUAAAUCUGAAGAGGAACUGGGAGAAGCUUCUGCUGGCAGCUCAUGCCAUUGUUGCCAUUGAAAACCCUGCUGAUGUGUCAUAUCCUGCAGGAAUACUAGCUAGUGGGCUGUGCUGAAGUUUGCUGCUGCUGCUGGAGCCACAUGUAUUGCUGGUCACUUCACUUCUGGAACCUUUGCUAACCAGAUCCAAUCAUCUUCUGCCACCCACAUCUUCUGGUGGUUACUGAUUCUAGGGCUAACUAUCAGCCUCUCUCAGGGGCUUCUUAUGGUAACCUACCUACCUACCACUGCUGUAUGUAACAGAUUCUCCUCUGAGCUAUGUGGAUAUUGUCAUCCCAUGCAACAACAAGGAAGCUCAAUCACUGAGUCUAAUGUAGUGGAUGCUGGCCCAGGAAGCUCUGUGCAUGUGUUGCACCAUCUCCCAUGAUCAUGCCUGAUCUCUACUUCUAUAGAGAUCCUGAAGAGAUUGAAAAGGAAGAGUAGGCUGCAGCUGAAAAAGGAGGAAUUUCAAAGUGAAUGGACUGCUGUAGUGCAAGUUUACUGCUACUCAAUCUGAGGUUGCAGACUGGUUUAAAGACAUGCAGGUGCCCUCUGUGCCUAUUCAGCAGUUCCCUACUGAAGAUUGGAGCACUUAGCCUACCAUGAAUGACUGGUCUGCAACUUCCACUGCUCAGACCACUGAAUGGGUAAGAAUAACCACUGAGUGGCCUUAAGCUGUUCUUCCACAAGCUCUUAAACAAGAUGGAAAUAACGCUGAUGGAAAUAAACAACAGUUUCCAAGAAAACACGAACAGCUGAAGUGGCAAUGUUUAAGUAACAUCUGGUAGACUUUAACAUGAAUGUUAUUAAGCAGGAAAUUAUGAUCUUUUAAGUUGGAACAUGUAAUGUUAAUCCUUUUGCACCAAAAUAUCUCUUUAAGUCUAAAUUAUCCACUUUUUUUUUUAAUUCUUCGUAGAGAUAGAGGUUUCGCUUUGUUGCCCAGGCUGUUCUUGACUUCCUAACUUCAAGCAAUCCUUCUGCCUCAGCCUCCCAGAGUGCUGGGAUUAUAGGCAUUUGCCACCGUGCCUGGUGUACCCAGUUUCUGUUAUCAACAGAAUGCAGUGGUGUAUGGUUGCUAAAGGGUCCCAAGAUCAGGACCUACGUUAAGG